GAUGAACGCUGGCGGCGUGCCUAAUACAUGCAAGUCGAGCGAACAGACGAGGAGCUUGCUCCUCUGACGUUAGCGGCGGACGGGUGAGUAACACGUGGAUAACCUACCUAUAAGACUGGGAUAACUUCGGGAAACCGGAGCUAAUACCGGAUAAUAUAUUGAACCGCAUGGUUCAAUAGUGAAAGACGGUUUUGCUGUCACUUAUAGAUGGAUCAGCGCCGCAUUAGCUAGUUGGUAAGGUAACGGCUUACCAAGGCAACGAUGCGUAGCCGACCUGAGAGGGUGAUCGGCCACACUGGAACUGAGACACGGUCCAGACUCCUACGGGAGGCAGCAGUAGGGAAUCUUCCGCAAUGGGCGAAAGCCUGACGGAGCAACGCCGCGUGAGUGAUGAAGGUCUUCGGAUCGUAAAACUCUGUUAUUAGGGAAGAACAAAUGUGUAAGUAACUAUGCACGUCUUGACGGUACCUAAUCAGGAAGCCACGGCUAACUACGUG
RNAcentral lists this ribosomal RNA (497 nucleotides) under uncultured bacterium. RNAcentral describes it as "partial 16S ribosomal RNA". It matches the Rfam family "Bacterial small subunit ribosomal RNA", at positions 28 to 507 of the family's 1533-position model. The record is from RNAcentral.